Molecule: non-coding RNA, 97 nt
Filed under: Solanum tuberosum (potato)
Lineage: Eukaryota; Viridiplantae; Streptophyta; Magnoliopsida; Solanales; Solanaceae
Description: rRNA SSU_rRNA_eukarya
Rfam family: Bacterial small subunit ribosomal RNA
Source: Rfam by way of RNAcentral
AAUGGCCGGGACAAAGGGUCGCAAUCCUUCGAAGGUGAGCUAACCCCAAAAACCCGUCCUCAAUUUGGAUUGCAGGCUGCAACUUGCCUGCAUGAAG